RNAcentral lists this ribosomal RNA (490 nucleotides) under uncultured bacterium. RNAcentral describes it as "partial 16S ribosomal RNA". It matches the Rfam family "Bacterial small subunit ribosomal RNA", at positions 30 to 507 of the family's 1533-position model. The record is from RNAcentral.
AUUGAACGCUGGCGGCAGGCCUAACACAUGCAAGUCGAACGGUAACAGGAAGAAGCUUGCUUCUUUGCUGACGAGUGGCGGACGGGUGAGUAAUGUCUGGGAAACUGCCUGAUGGAGGGGGAUAACUACUGGAAACGGUAGCUAAUACCGCAUAACGUCGCAAGACCAAAGAGGGGGACCUUCGGGCCUCUUGCCAUCGGAUGUGCCCAGAUGGGAUUAGCUAGUAGGUGGGGUAACGGCUCACCUAGGCGACGAUCCCUAGCUGGUCUGAGAGGAUGACCAGCCACACUGGAACUGAGACACGGUCCAGACUCCUACGGGAGGCAGCAGUGGGGAAUAUUGCACAAUGGGCGCAAGCCUGAUGCAGCCAUGCCGCGUGUAUGAAGAAGGCCUUCGGGUUGUAAAGUACUUUCAGCGGGGAGGAAGGGAGUAAAGUUAAUACCUUUGCUCAUUGACGUUCCCCGCAGAAGAAGCACCGGCUAACUCCGUG